Molecule: long non-coding RNA, 575 nt
Organism: Zootermopsis nevadensis
Lineage: Eukaryota; Metazoa; Arthropoda; Insecta; Blattodea; Termopsidae
Source: RefSeq, a predicted model, not a curated record
UAUAUUAGAACUGCUUAAAUAUUUAACGAACAGUACAUGUUUUAUGAUUCAUCAGCAUUCCAGUACUGGGAAACACAACCUUACAGAUGGCAAUGCGUCAGGCAGAACUGCACUCUGGUGACACGCUUUUGUAUUAAGAUUUGAAGCGAAGUGUCUCGUGUGCUGACUCAUGGAAAGUUUUUGUUUGCCUGUGAGUGGAUUGUUUCUGUUCUCAUAAACACUGCAUCCAGAAACCAUCCUUGUUACAACUCAUUUCUUGAACUUUUACUCGGCCAUUGGCGAGGGACUGCUCUGCGCGUGCGGUUGAAUGCGAGAGAGAGAUUUCGUUCCUUUCUGACGGGAGUCUCAGAAGGCCGCGUGAAAUUACUGGACAUUACAUUUCAGAGCGCACUGAUGAAUAAAAUAUGAAGGCAACUGAACGCAAAAAGAUGGCCGCAGGUGCUGCGUGUGUCUGCUUAUUAACAGCGCAAAGAUGGAUGAAGCCUUCGUGAGGAGAGGGCAGGGAGCCAAGGUUAUUUCAUCGCUCUGCUGGAUACAAGCUAUCGACUGACUACUUUCAACAAUCGACAGAUUUC